UCGUAACUGGGCCAAAGCUUGUUUGC
Molecule: non-coding RNA, 26 nt
Filed under: Homo sapiens (human)
Lineage: Eukaryota; Metazoa; Chordata; Mammalia; Primates; Hominidae
Source: RNAcentral